RNAcentral lists this ribosomal RNA (482 nucleotides) under uncultured bacterium. RNAcentral describes it as "partial 16S ribosomal RNA". It matches the Rfam family "Bacterial small subunit ribosomal RNA", at positions 30 to 507 of the family's 1533-position model. The record is from RNAcentral.
AUUGAACGCUGGCGGCAUGAUUUACACAUACAAGUCGAACGGUAACAGGCCGCAAGGUGCUGACGAGUGGCGAACGGGUGAGUAAUGCAUCGGAACGUGCCCAGUCGUGGGGGAUAACUACUCGAAAGAGUAGCUAAUACCGCAUACGAUCUAUGGAUGAAAGCGGGGGACCGUAAGGCCUCGCGCGAUUGGAGCGGCCGAUGUCAGAUUAGGUAGUUGGUGGGGUAAAGGCUCACCAAGCCAACGAUCUGUAGCUGGUCUGAGAGGACGACCAGCCACACUGGGACUGAGACACGGCCCAGACUCCUACGGGAGGCAGCAGUGGGGAAUUUUGGACAAUGGGCGCAAGCCUGAUCCAGCAAUGCCGCGUGCAGGAAGAAGGCCUUCGGGUUGUAAACUGCUUUUGUACGGAACGAAACGGCUCUGGUUAAUACCCGGGGCUAAUGACGGUACCGUAAGAAUAAGCACCGGCUAACUACGUG